GACGAACGCUGGCGGCGUGCUUAACACAUGCAAGUCGAACGGAAAGGCCCCUUUGGGGGUACUCGAGUGGCGAACGGGUGGGUAACACGCGAGUAACCUGCCCUUGACUUCGGGAUAACUUCAGGAAACUGGGGCUAAUACCGGCUAGGAAUCCUUGCUGCAUGGUGGGGGUUGGAAAGCUUCGGCGGUUUUGGAUGGACUCGCGGCUUAUCAGCUUGUUGGUGGGGUAGGGGCUUACCAAGGCUUUGACGGGUAGCCGGCCUGAGAGGGCGACCGGCCACAUUGGGACUGAGAUACGGCCCAGACUCCUACGGGAGGCAGCAGUGGGGAAUAUUGCACAAUGGGCGGAAGCCUGAUGCAGCAACGCCGCGUGCGGGAUGACGGCCUUCGGGUUGUAAACCGCUUUCAGCAGGGGCGAAGCUUGUGGUGACGGUACCUGCAGAAGAAGCACCGGCUAACUACGUG
RNAcentral lists this ribosomal RNA (465 nucleotides) under uncultured bacterium. RNAcentral describes it as "partial 16S ribosomal RNA". It matches the Rfam family "Bacterial small subunit ribosomal RNA", at positions 28 to 507 of the family's 1533-position model. The record is from RNAcentral.